AACGAACGCUGGCGGCAGGCCUAACACAUGCAAGUCGAGCGCGCCCUUCGGGGUGAGCGGCGGACGGGUGAGUAACGCGUGGGAACGUGCCCUUCUCUGCGGAAUAGCCUCGGGAAACUGAGAGUAAUACCGCAUACGCCCUUUGGGGGAAAGAUUUAUCGGAGAAGGAUCGGCCCGCGUUGGAUUAGGUAGUUGGUGGGGUAAUGGCCCACCAAGGCGACGAUCCAUAGCUGGUUUGAGAGGAUGAUCAGCCACACUGGGACUGAGACACGGCCCAGACUCCGACGGGAGGGAGCAGUGGGGAAUAUUGGGAAAUGGGCGAAGGACGGAUCCCGCCAUGAGGCGUGAGGGAUGAAGGCAUUAGGGUUGUAAAGCCCUGGGAAACGGGAUGAUAAUGACAGGACCGGGAGAAGAAGCUCCGGCUAACUACGUG
RNAcentral lists this ribosomal RNA (433 nucleotides) under uncultured bacterium. RNAcentral describes it as "partial 16S ribosomal RNA". It matches the Rfam family "Bacterial small subunit ribosomal RNA", at positions 29 to 507 of the family's 1533-position model. The record is from RNAcentral.